RNAcentral lists this long non-coding RNA (267 nucleotides) under Brassica napus (rape). Its description in RNAcentral is "long non-coding RNA (BNAP_LNC023044)". The record is from RNAcentral. Lineage: Eukaryota; Viridiplantae; Streptophyta; Magnoliopsida; Brassicales; Brassicaceae.
GAAUAUUGAUAUCAUUAUGGCAUUUGAUUUCAUGUUCGUAACCCUAGACGAGUAUCAUACCCUAUAUAAAUACGGGGCCAAACUCCCAUCACCUCACCACAGUCAACUUCUUAAAUCAUCAUUUAUCAAAACAUUCUCGAUGGAGUGAUAGAAACGAGAAGCGAACCAACUCACGGGAACAAUGGUUUCAUCGACCAUAAAUACGUUUCUUCGUAGUAAAGAUGGAGUAAGUAUUACACUUUUGAAAGAAAAAAAUUACUGAUUUAC